CGUGCCUAAUACAUGCAAGUCGAACGCAUUGUGGUUGAAAUGAUAUGAAGAACCUGUUCAGAUUUGAUUUUCAACAUUGCAAUGAGUGGCGAACGGGUGAGUAACACGUGGGAAACCUACCUCUUAGCAGGGGAUAACAUUUGGAAACAAAUGCUAAUACCGUAUAAUAAUUAAAACCGCAUGGUUUUAGUUUAAAAGAUGGUCUUGCUAUCACUAAGAGAUGGUCCCGCGGUGUAUUAGUUAGUUGGUGAGGUAAUGGCUCACCAAGACAAUGAUACAUAGCCGAGUUGAGAGACUGACCGGCCACAAUGGGACUGAGACACGGCCCAUACUCCUACGGGAGGCAGCAGUAGGGAAUCUUCCACAAUGGACGAAAGUCUGAUGGAGCAACGCCGCGUGUGUGAUGAAGGGUUUCGGCUCGUAAAACACUGUUGUAAGAGAAGAAUGACAUUGAGAGUAACUGUUCAAUGUGUGACGGUAUCUUACCAGAAAGGAACGGCUAAAUACGUG
Molecule: ribosomal RNA, 510 nt
Filed under: uncultured bacterium
Lineage: Bacteria
Description: bacterial SSU rRNA
Rfam family: Bacterial small subunit ribosomal RNA
Source: RNAcentral